CUGUGCGGCCGCCUCGCCUCCCCGACCCGCGCCUCGAAGCCUCGACGCCCUCCUGCCCCCUCGGCCAGCCAGCCCUGCGUUUGGGACUGUGCUGGCUGGUGACUUAACCCUGGGAGAUGCCGCUGGCAGAAGCAGCUCUGCAGGUCUCCUGGCAAGACCUGUCCCAGUUCCCAUGAGCAGCACUAUGGGUAUGGAUGCUUCCGACUUCCUGCUACCAAUGGAACCAUCCUGUUCAGCUCCAGGCAAGGUAGAAAGCAGUCAGUCUGCACUCUGAGAUAGAGAAAGAAAAAUCACCAUAGGAGAGCAGACAAUGCUCCCUGCAUGGACACACGCUCUGGUUCAAGCGGCUCUUCUUCAUCUGCAGUGAACUAUGCUGGUAGAAGCUGUGCAGCCAGGAGCAAGCAGCAGAGCAUCUGUACACCACUUGGGGAGCAAAACCAACAGGCAUUUUCUCCUCCAGACAUUCACACCUUUCCUUAUGUAACUGGUGCUGAAGUGUGUGCUUUAAAAGCUGCUUGCCAAAUCCAGGGGCUGGGAGGCAGCAGAAAUGCUUCUAGCACUCUAGAUGAAAUUGAGGGGGGAAAAGAAAACCCAAACACCCAGGAAUUCGUACAAAUACAUAACUGCAACUUGAGGAUGG
Lonchura striata (white-rumped munia) is the source of this 640-nucleotide non-coding RNA. The record is from RefSeq and is a predicted model, not a curated record. NCBI's taxonomy places the organism in Eukaryota, Metazoa, Chordata, Aves, Passeriformes, Estrildidae.